CAGUUCUCGAUUAAAUUACAAGAUAAAACUCAACUUUUACAUCACAUUCUCCAAAAUUACAUAUCAUCACCGUAGCGGAAAUUAAUUCCCAAGAGUGGAAUGUAUACAAACACCCGAUCCACAUCCAAACAACCAUGCAAGCCCAAAAUUUACACAAGUUAAAUCUAAAAUCAAAGUGUACAAGAGAAAUCCAUCCAUUCCCAUUUCAAACAAUCACCCUAGCUCAACUAUUAUACAAAACGGAUUCAAAUCUAAACUAUACAAGAUAAUAACGUAAUACAAGCGCUUCCUUUGCCUCGAUUCCUAUGGGGAGAAGAAAACAUUUGGGGGUGAGUUAGAAACUCAGUGAGUGAACAGUAAAACCGGUAAUCCAAUAAACUUAACAAUAAUGUAUUUAAGUGCUAUCAUGAAUUAGCGACCAAAUGUGCAUAUAAUGCUCUUUGGAGCCAGUGAAAAUCCUUGUACUUAAAUAUCCAACGCUCCCUUAGAUCAAGUAACCAGAUGAACAGAAACAAGGAUCCAUCAUGCUCCAAAGAAUGCAUAAACAGCAGCGGAGACAUUGGUUUUAAGCACAAGAUUUUCCCACGAACUCAUUGGAGCCAAAAUGUUAUGGCACACACACAUACACAAUGAGAUGCCAUCAUGUAAUCAAUGCAAGAAUUAUUUCAAAAAUAACUUUUGGAGAAAUAGUUGAGGUUCACUCACCAACCACGGCUCACGAACCUUAUCCGGCAUACCUCAUUACCUUGAGCAAGUUGAAACCCUAAAUUACAAAUAUCAAGUCAAGCAAAGGAAAUUCUAAAAUUAACAAGCUUCCAUUGCCUUUGACAUUUUAAACACAAUUAAAGCUACACUUAUCCGAUCGAAACGAAUCUUAUGGCGUUACGAAGCUAAGACAUAUGUCAACAUUUUUUUUUAUGAAGAUCUCCAAGGCCAAAACAUACUUAUUCAGGAUCAAAAUCCGAAUCCCAGCGAAAGAACGAAAAUUGUCAUAAAACAGGGGUUAUGGGGCAGUCAUGGGUAUUUCGGCCAAUUCACAAGCCACAGUACUUCAAUCAAUCUGAAAUUUUGCAGGCAAGUAGUCAACUCAUAUAUCUACAAGUUUCACGUUUUGAGCAAAAGUUGAUUCGGUCUACAGUACCGAGAAAAUGAUAGUCCAAGUUCAGUCCAGAAACAGGGAAAAACUGAAAUUACUCUUCUUGAACCGACCUUUGCGCAUGACUAUCACUAAUCACAAUUAAGGGCUAGAAAUCCCCACUUAACAUGAGACUAGCCUAUACCAAUCAUGUACAGGCCAAAACAAGGAUGAAUUAACUUAAACAAAGUUUAGAAAUGUCACUAAGAUGGAACUUAAUCCUCCCAAUGUCCAAAUCAUAAGAAUUUCCAUAAAAUGAAUCAAGAUCAAUUCAAAUUCAAAACAAACACAUACUCUCCAAAAUUGGACGGCAUAACCCCUAAAUUUUACACAUUUCAAACCUACCAUUCAAAUACCAAUUCUCAUAACAAUUAACCACAGUCACCCAUAUUAUUCAUAAUCAAUACCAUACAUUCAAUUAGCCACAAUUUCCUUCAAUCAAAGCCAAUUACAAGCUUAAAGCCAACCUUGGAAAAAUCCGCAAUUUGAAACCUUAGAAACCGGAAAUUCACUUCACAUACGGAAAUUUUCCGCAACAACCAUAAAUAACGUACAAGAGCUUCUAUUAACACCAUUUAAACCACUAAUCCAAAUCCAAUCCAAGACUUUCACAUAAAAUCAUAAAAAUACCCAAUAAAUCAGAAAAUUACCAUAAUUUCCAUAAACCCAUGAAAUACUCCAUAAAAUAACAUACAUGACCACCACAAACCAUUAAUUAACCAAUAUUAGAACCAAAGGAAACUUGCAUAUCCAAUCUUACCUCAAAUUCAAGAGAGCUAUCCACCUAGAGCUUCCCUUCAAAAACCAAUCCAUCAAAAGCUUUAAACCACCAUAGAGAACUCUUGUGUGAAAUAUUGUCCAAAACCAUCGGUGAAAUCGCAAGAUUUUGGGACAAAAUUGAAGUUGGAAAAUGAAGAGGUUUCUUUCUCUCAAAGCUCACGGAUGAACC
RNAcentral lists this long non-coding RNA (2084 nucleotides) under Coffea arabica (coffee). RNAcentral's name for it is "long non-coding RNA (CARA_LNC004990)". The record is from RNAcentral. Lineage: Eukaryota; Viridiplantae; Streptophyta; Magnoliopsida; Gentianales; Rubiaceae.